Molecule: long non-coding RNA, 439 nt
Organism: Nasonia vitripennis (jewel wasp)
Lineage: Eukaryota; Metazoa; Arthropoda; Insecta; Hymenoptera; Pteromalidae
Exons: 3
Source: RefSeq, a predicted model, not a curated record
GAGAGAGAAGAGCGAGCAGAAACCGCUACCAUUCAAGGGAAGUGCCUCUCGCGAAAACGGGAACAGGCCCGCGUAGAGGAUCCUUUCUCCUCUCUGAUCGCGCCAAAGAUGCGAGAGAAGAGAGAGAUAGAGAGAUCGAGAGCGUCAUCGGACAGAGUUUUUUGGUUAUUUUUAAAAGAGAGUAAGAUAGAUAUAUGCGAUGUCUCUGUCUCUCGCGCGCGGCCAUUGUGCGCGAGUUAUCAUCGUCUCCCACUCGGCGUAGGUAUAUAGUAGAUAAUAUAGAGUAGGUAAAAGAGGCGACAGGUUGACGGCCACUGCGGCGCUUCGAGAUUUCGCCGCGACGUUAUCGACUAGAUUCGCUCACCGGGAUAGAUUUGCUGCUGGUACUGUUGCUGGUACUGCUGUGGCUGUUGCUGCUGUUGCUGGUACUGUUGCUGGU